CUCCUGCGGGCGGCUGGGGUGCGGGAUGCUGGCACCCCGGGCGUUCCCGAGGCCGGGCAGACAGGACCCCCGGCCCCCGGACACUGGCUUUUCCAACUUUCUGGUCGCUAGGAGCAAAGUCCCCCGCGGUCCUGGGGCCACAGAAACACCUACGUCGCUCCCUCUGACGCACCUGAUUUCCGCCUGCCGCACGGGGUCUAAAUUUCCUUCCCAGGUGUAGGAAAUUGCUGUCUUUGACCGACCUCUCCGCUUACUUCAGGGAGGAUCUCUUUUUUUUUGCAAAACGUAAGCUAAAAACCAAUGGAUGAGGUUUGAAGAGUGUGUUCACUUUUUGAUCUCUCUAGGAUUAAGUCAGUAAGCCGUAGAUUUCAUGUCCUUCCUGAUGGACUCUGAAGUUACGAUUGCUCUAGCUGUGGACUUAUCCUAAUGCAGCCAUUCAAACGCAAAGAUGUAAACGCUGCAAAGUGACAAGACUUGGGACAUGCAAAAAGCCAAAGAGAAUAAAAAUGGAAAACCUGGGGGUGAUAUACAAUUAAAAUGGACAAAUAGAUUAAAAAUGUGUUUGUCCUGCGAAAUCCAUAAAUCCACUACCUUCUUUUAAACAUCAGAUUCUUGGAAAUUAGAGAUUCAUUAUACUCCUAUCAAACAUAAUGUACACUGUUAUACAUUAGGGGAGCAUACUCCGUUUCUAAUUUUUCUUUGCUUCGUAGUGCCAGGGUUGUGCCAGAUUCCUCUGUAAGUACUAUCAGAUCAGCAAAUCAAUGUACUGUUCUGCCUCAGUUCAUAGCUGCAUUAACAUUCUCUAGCCUUCCCUGCUGCUAGAUGUAGCCAGUAGGUUUAGCUUAUUGAAGCAAACAAAAACUUUGAGAAACUUCCAUUCUCUUUUCCUGUCUGUGGUCAAAGAGUAAAGAAAGCAGAAAGGCAAAUUAGAAGAAGUCUGGGCCCCUGAAUGACUCUUUGAGUAGAGCAUCAUUAUGAAUGCCUCUUUUGGAUUCUACAUGAUCAAAGUGAACUGUUCUGUUAUGUUUAGCAGUUAGUCUUAUCCUAAGCAGCAGACAUGGGUGUCAAGAAUGAGCAACAGAAGCCGAGCUGUGGUGGCACACGCACUUGGCAGGCAGAGGCUGGUGGAUCUCUGAGUUCAAGGCCAGCCUGGUCUAUAGAGCAAGUUCCAGGUCAGCCAAGGCUACAGAAAAUCCCUGUCUCAGAAAACCAAAACCAAAACCAACCAACCAACAAAAGAAUGAGCAACAGAGGAAUUUUUGCCCUUGAAGAGCUCACAGUGUAUUCCAUUGUAUUCGUCACAAUUUGUCAUCAUUUUUCACCUUGUUUACUUUGUUGGUCGCCUGCUUCUCUCAUAGGAGCAAGGACCCCAUCUGUUUUCUCCUUUGUGCCUACCGUCUACUGUGUUAUUGACACAGGGAAUUCUGAUACACUUGUCAAAUAGAAAGUUGGAUAAAUGAAAGACAUUGGACUAAGUCAGCCAUAUCUGCCCUUCUAGAGCUUACAGAAUGUAGUAGGUAGAGAUAGGUUAAGUUAAUGACUAGUGAAUAUGUAAUUGCAAAGUGUGUGUGAAGUAUGAUUAAAGAGUGCUAGCAGGCAAUCUACUGUAGAUCUUAGAUUCAGGGAUAACCAGCCAGAAGUGACAGCUAACCUGGAACCUGAAGAAAGGAGGAAUUAGCUAAACUAAGUCAGUGAAGACUUUUCUAUGCAAUGCCUUGGUGUGGAGGUCACUUGGCAGAUUUUAGGGCCAAACAAGGAGUGGUGAGAAGGAUCAAGAGGAAGUUAAGAGCAAAUCUUAUGAACCUUGUUGGCCACAGUAUGUGUUUGGGUUGCAGCAAUGGAAAUCCGUUGAGGGUUUUGAAGUAGGGCAUGACAUGAUCAGAUUGGUGACUUAAAAAUAUAGAUAGAUACGUGCAUGAGAUUUAAAAAAAAUAGAAAUCAUAAUACCUUUGGUAUAUGGUGGAAGGGGACUUCAAGGAUGUGGACUGAACAGUGAAGUGUUCAUCACAGCAGUGCAGGAUGGCUUGUGCUAUCUAUGAUCCAUGGCCACCAGGCAAAAUCUUGGGAUCAUGUAUUCUACAAGAGCCGUGUGGGGCUGGUCUAGUCCUAGCAUCUGCUCAGGUUAAGAACGCCAUUGGUUUUUAUAAAAGUUCUAGAGGAUUUUAGAGGUAAAGGAGAAUGGGCACAUUUGAGGUGUAUUUUGGUGGCGGGUUGGAAAGCACUUAGUAAAUUGGCAUCAAAGAUAAAACGCUCCGAAAUGCUAGGUUUCGAGUGAGAACCAGGUUGAAAGACCAUUUGCAGAGGGAAGCUACAGUGGAGUGAGAGGAGGUUUGAAAGUAAGGUGUUUACUUUUCAGCUUUAGGAAAAACACUUCUGAGCUAUGACUUGAUUGUCCAGAAGGCAAGGUUUUCUCAGAGGACCAUUCCAGUUUGUCCCUUGUUGAAGUAGACGGGGAUGCUCAUGGGAGGGGAGCACUCCCACCUGCUGAAAACUUGAGAUGUUAAGUGACUUGAAGCAAACAUGGGAUCCAGUUCUGGAGUAAAGCUGAUAUUCAUGGGAAAUAAAGGGGAAAUGCUAUGUGUAGUGUUUUAUUGACAGGUCUUCAGAGGGUGACAAGCUCAGGUAAUUAUACACGAAACUGAGUGUGCGCAGGUAUUUCUGCUUCCUUUUGCUUUUUAUUUGUAGUGUUUGGAUUAUUCAGUUAUUUAAGUAAGCCUUCCUCAGUAGUCCCUGUAGUUUUCAAAACUUUCAAGUUCUGUUUCUGAGUUGCUCAUCUUUCACUGAAUGAUUUUUUUCUUUACCAGUAACCUCACAGUCUGCUGUCUGCUUUGGAUUUUCUCUUUGAAAAAUUUCCCACCAUGGUUCUAAGGAGCCAAAUAACAUCAGACAAUAAAAGGAACAAGAGACUUUGCUCUGA
This is a long non-coding RNA of Peromyscus eremicus (cactus mouse), 2917 nucleotides long. RefSeq lists it as uncharacterized. The transcript has 2 exons. Lineage: Eukaryota; Metazoa; Chordata; Mammalia; Rodentia; Cricetidae. The record is from RefSeq and is a predicted model, not a curated record.